Long non-coding RNA from Aotus nancymaae (Ma's night monkey), 2286 nucleotides. The record is from Ensembl. Lineage: Eukaryota; Metazoa; Chordata; Mammalia; Primates; Aotidae.
UACCGUGUUUCCUAAGAUUAUGUCAUUUUCCUCCAUGUUAAAUUCGAAUGUCUUUGAAAGGAUGUGAGAAAAUCAAGUGUAUUAACACAUUUUUUAUAUCCAUGUUUUUUUCCAAUACAAGUUUUUUCUAUUUUCAAAGAGAGCUGGGAAAGUUGCAUGCUUUCUUGUAUUUCUUCGAUUGAAAGCGUUCUGUCCAGUGUGAGUUCUUUCAUGUGUUCUAAUAAACUAGAGCAUGGGAUGGCUUUACCACAUUUCUUACAUGAGAAUAAUGUUUUUGAAGAUGGCCCAGUGAACUAACAUUGUCUUGUGUUGGUUUUGUUGCAUUUGUCAUUUCCCAGGAAUGAGUUGGAAAGGCAAUUCUUGAAGCUAAUUAAUUAUAAUAUCCAAGUUCCUGGCAGCAUUUACACCAAAUACUACUUUGAUCUUUGCACUUUGGCACAGGACCAUGCUGUUUGCCUCUUUAUCUCCUUGACAGAGAAAGAACACGGAAGCCGGAGGUAAGACUAUGAAGUUACUAAGUGGAUUUGCAGUCAGCAGUGCCAACAUCUGUGACUAAGUCAUAUUAAGUUGUGAUUAGAAAAAUGGAAAGCUUCAGCCCAGUGCAGUGGCUCAUGCCUGUAAUCCCAGCACUUUGGGAGGCUGAGGCUUUUUCAAGGAUGGGAAAAGACAGAGACGUAUGUAGUGCUGCCAAGAACAGGUCUUUGAGUGCUGAUGAUUUAACUAAUCUUGAGUGCGCUAAAGCCGUCCUCUCCUGAAGGAAGAAAUGAGGGGUAAUGUAACAUCUGCACCCCUCAUCUAAAAAGACAGGAAAAUACCACCUCUCCUGCUACAGAACUAGAAAACUUAAUACGAAACACCUCAAUUCAAGUUAACUCAAGGACAACUAAGACCUUGUCAGGGCAACAACACACUCUUACACUCUUCUGUCUGUUUUAAUGUAAACACAGUUACAGGUGCCACUCCAAAGUGAAGGCUCCUUCUGCCUAUGCACAGAGACUUCCUUAGUGUGUGGGCUGAUAGCUGUGAAUUAUGUAAGGCUUUUAAAACAAUAAAAGCUUUUUAAAUGUUAAAGAUAACUUUUCUGUUUCUUUCAUAUUUUUUUCUCCCAAUAUUGCUGCACAUGCAUUUGGAAUCAAUGCAGUAUUCCUAUUAAAACAUGGGACUCAGCUGGGUGUUGUGGCUCAAGCCUGUAAUCCCAGCACUUUGGGAGGCUGAGAUGGGUGGAUCACAAGGUCAAGAGAUCAAGACUAUCCUGGCCAGCAUGGUAAAACCCUGUCUCUACUAAAAAUACAAAAAUUAGCUGGGUGUGGUGGCAGGUGCCUGUAGUCCUAGCUACUCAGGAGGCUGAGGCAGGAGAAUCGCUUAAAUCAGGAAGGCAGAGGUUGCAGUGAUUCAAGAUCAUGCCACUUCAUUCCAGCCUGGACAGAGGGAGACUUUCUCUGAAAAAAAAAACGUGGGACUCUAACAACUCCCAAAGCCAGUAGGAGCAGAUGCAGCAUUGUCAGGGAUUGAAGGGCUCUUCCUUCCUACUCUCACUUGAUAUGUCUUAAAGCAUUUUUGUAAGUUGCCUUAACCAUUCACAAGUUGGUUUAAUUCAUGCCUGUGUUUAAGAUAUAAUUUUUUUUUGUUUGCUUAAGCUCUUUUCAAUUUUAAGAUAAUUUAUUACACUUAAAAUCACUCUCUGGCCACAAUACUUAGUAACAUAGUGCAUUAGAUGGCAUCUUUGAAUAGUUGAUUAUUGUGUCUGAGAGGAAAAACACAUUAGAACAUAAAAUUAAAUAUGCCAAAGAGAAAGGAUUUUCAGGAAUACCAUGGAAUUAGAACAAGGGUGUUGGAGGUUUUCAAACAGUUACACAGAAAAAAAAAGUAAGUACAGAAAGUAGAAUUAAAGUUUCUAUACAGAGGGUGACUUAAGCUUACAUUUUAGUUAAAAAUAAAUCACUGGCUUUUUUUAGAACUAAUCUAGCCACUCAUUUUCAGUGAUUCUCACUAAAUCCUGAUAAUAUUGGUACAUUUUUUUCCAGUUUAAUUUUUUCAUUUUAAAAAAAUUCCUUAGAAUUUAAGGUAAAAUCUUCAACUUAACAUCUUAUCUUGAUAAACUGCAGACUAGAAUCAAUGAUCUGAUGUAACUUAGAAGAAAAAGUCAAUGAUGAAUCCUUAUUUAUAAGAUGGUUUGCACCUUAUUAAUAUGACAUUAACUAGAAGUUGUGACAUAUAUGAGUGGUCAAAUAUUUAAAAACCAGUUUGGCAAAGGGACAUUGGACAUAAAUCCUUGACUUCAAGAGU